Molecule: transfer RNA, 78 nt
Filed under: Actinomycetota bacterium
Lineage: Bacteria; Bacillati; Actinomycetota
Description: tRNA-Met
Rfam family: tRNA
About the family: Transfer RNA (tRNA) molecules are approximately 80 nucleotides in length. Their secondary structure includes four short double-helical elements and three loops (D, anti-codon, and T loops). Further hydrogen bonds mediate the characteristic L-shaped molecular structure. tRNAs have two regions of fundamental functional importance: the anti-codon, which is responsible for specific mRNA codon recognition, and the 3' end, to which the tRNAs corresponding amino acid is attached (by aminoacyl-tRNA synthetases). tRNAs cope with the degeneracy of the genetic code in two manners: having more than one tRNA (with a specific anti-codon) for a particular amino acid; and 'wobble' base-pairing, i.e. permitting non-standard base-pairing at the 3rd anti-codon position.
Source: RNAcentral
GCUGGCGGAGCGUCGGCGUUGUCCGCGGCGCUCGGGUUCAUAACCCGAAGGUCGCGGGUUCGAAUCCCGCCCUCAGUA